AGACCUGGCAAUAUAGUUGGUUAACUGUCGGGUCAACUCAUAUUAACUGGAACCAAAUGAGUUGGUUAACUGUUUUUAUUUAUUUGGGUUGGUUAAAGUUUGGAACCAUAUUUUUAAAAAGAAAUAUAGUUCCAACUCGGUUAACCAUUUUUCGACCCAUAUUUUAUUCCAAAUCCAAAUCAAAAGUUCUUUCCAUCCAUAUUUAGAUAUUCAAGAAGCUCA
RNAcentral lists this long non-coding RNA (222 nucleotides) under Panax ginseng (ginseng). Its description in RNAcentral is "long non-coding RNA (PGIN_LNC013328)". The record is from RNAcentral. Lineage: Eukaryota; Viridiplantae; Streptophyta; Magnoliopsida; Apiales; Araliaceae.